CGCAAGGCUAAAACUCAAAAGAAUUGACGGGGGCUCGCACAAGCGGUGGAGCAUGUGGCUUAAUUCGAUGCAACGCGAAAAACCUUACCGGGGCUUGACAUGAUAGAAGUAGGAACCUGAAAGGGGGACGAACGGUAUCCAGUCCGUAGCUAUUACAGGUGUUGCAUGGCUGUCGUCAGCUCGUGUCGUGAGACGUUGGGUUAAGUCCCCUAACGAGCGAAACCCUUGUUUUUAGUUACCAGCGGGUUAUGCCGGGUACUCUAGAAAGACUGCCGUCGUCAAGACGGAGGAAGGUGGGGAUGACGUCAAGUCAUCAUGGCCCUUAUGCCCCGGGCUGCACACGUGCUACAAUGGUCGGUACAGACGGAAGCGAAGCCGAGAGGUGAAGCGAAUCCUAAAAAGCCGAUCUCAGUUCGGAUUGGAGGCUGAAAUUCGCCUCCAUGAAGUUGGAAUCGCUAGUAAUCGCGGAUCAGCAAUGUCGCGGUGAAUAUGUUCCCGAGCCUUGUACACACCGCCCGUCAAGCCACCCAAGCAGGAUGCACCCGAAAACAUUAUAUCUAACCAGGGCAACUUGGAGGAAAAUGUUGAAGGAGUGUUUUGUGAGGAGGACUAAGUCGUAACAAGGUAGUCGUAGGAGAACCUGCGGCUG
This 649-nucleotide ribosomal RNA is filed under the name marine metagenome. RNAcentral's name for it is "bacterial SSU rRNA". It matches the Rfam family "Bacterial small subunit ribosomal RNA", at positions 887 to 1520 of the family's 1533-position model. The record is from RNAcentral.